This 174-nucleotide ribosomal RNA is filed under the name uncultured bacterium. RNAcentral describes it as "partial 16S ribosomal RNA". It matches the Rfam family "Bacterial small subunit ribosomal RNA", at positions 335 to 524 of the family's 1533-position model. The record is from RNAcentral.
ACUCCUACGGGAGGCAGCAGUGGGGAAUUUUCCACAAUGGGUGAAAGCCUGACGGAGCAAUGCCGCGUGGAGGUGGAAGGCCUACGGGUCGUCAACUUCUUUUCUCGAAGAAGAAACAAUGACGGUAUCUGAGGAAUAAGCAUCGGCUAACUCUGUGCCAGCAGCCGCGGUAAU